This is a long non-coding RNA of Centruroides sculpturatus (bark scorpion), 1290 nucleotides long. RefSeq lists it as uncharacterized. The record is from RefSeq and is a predicted model, not a curated record. The transcript is spliced from 3 exons. NCBI's taxonomy places the organism in Eukaryota, Metazoa, Arthropoda, Arachnida, Scorpiones, Buthidae.
UAUGAAUCGAAAUUAAGUAAUUGUUAAAUUUAACCUUAUGCUCUAGAAUAAUUUCGAUCUUGUCUGUUUUUAUCCGUAAUGUGUUCGUUUAUAUUUCUUAAAUGAGUCUUUCCGUUUCAGAAUGUUCACGAUUAUGCAUAUGGCGCAGGCUGUCUAGGAAGUAAAUAUUUACGAUGGUAAUAAAAUUUUAUAAUGUUGCAUAAUUAUUUAUUAACGUGAAUAAGAAAUAUUAUUUUACAAUAUGACUUAAUAAGUAAUUUUUCAGCUUUAAAAAAAAGUAGGUUUUAAUGGCAUUCAAUUUCAGUCAAUAAACGUAAAAUAAAAUUGAUUUAGUGGAAAGAGUGGGCCAAACUCAACGAAACCACGCUUUGAAUUAGCGAAUGGAAGGCUCAUUAGCAGAGGAGAUACUCAGUCACGAAGCACCUAUGGGGGAUGUUUUCACCUAGUUCUGCACGUGACAUGGACCAUGGCAAGUGUAGACAUUGCUGCCAGCGUAAUGAUCGGUUAGGUUCGUCAUAAACUGGCAGGGAUGUUUGUCUGAACAGUCGGUUCUGUGUCGACGUCAAGCCUGUUGCCACACAUGUAAUCAUUUUAAAUUACCUCGGAAAAGCUAUCCUGCGAGACACUCGGAUAUUUCUCACUUUCAAUGACGGGUUACGUGUCCACAUUCGCUCGUAAUGACUAAGAAAUUGUCGGAAUUUCACAGGCAUCCUCCGAAUGACAAAGCAAUGAAGGGUUCUGAUACCACCGACCCAACAAACAUUUUGUGGUUGUUUCUGCUAUCUAAUUUGUGCUUCUUUUGCCGGCUCGUAAAAUAUGGAUAAGAAAUCCGACUUUAAAUAUUAAAUUUAUGAAAAUAAACAUUCAAAAAUAUAAGAGCGCAUUUCCUAGUGAAACGGCUAUUUUUGAAUGCUAUAAAAAAAUUUUAUAGUAGUCGCCUAAUAUAACUUUCCCUCCUAAUAUUUGAAAAUUGUUAAAUACAUUUUCGUGUUGAUUCGAUUCUAAUCUUGUAGAAAUAAUUGACUCCAGUAUUAAAUAUCCCACAGGAAUUAUAUAAAAGGACCUAUCAGCGGUAUAUGCUGGAGCGACUAUUUUUUCUGUAACGCGAAACCACUCCUAAUGAUAUCGUGUUUGGUGGGUGUUUUCGAUAAAUUGAACUCCCGCUGAAUGUUAUUUAAUUCAAACAGUUUAAGAACGGUCAGAUAAAAAUUAAAAGAUAUUUAGUCAUUCGUGUAUUAUAAUUUUGACAAUUUAGAAGAAUAAUCGUGGUAUAACCAAAAGAAUUCAAGG